RNAcentral lists this ribosomal RNA (470 nucleotides) under uncultured bacterium. Its description in RNAcentral is "partial 16S ribosomal RNA". It matches the Rfam family "Bacterial small subunit ribosomal RNA", at positions 28 to 507 of the family's 1533-position model. The record is from RNAcentral.
GACGAACGCUGGCGGCGUGCUUAACACAUGCAAGUCGAACGCUGAAGCACCAGCUUGCUGGUGUGGAUGAGUGGCGAACGGGUGAGUAAUACGUGAGUAACCUGCCCUUGACUCUGGGAUAAGCCCGGGAAACUGGGUCUAAUACUGGAUGCUACAUGUCACCGCAUGGUGGUGUGUGGAAAGGGUUUACUGGUCUUGGAUGGGCUCACGGCCUAUCAGCUUGUUGGUGAGGUAAUGGCUCACCAAGGCGACGACGGGUAGCCGGCCUGAGAGGGUGACCGGCCACCCUGGGACUGAGACACGGCCCAGACUCCUACGGGAGGCAGCAGUGGGGAAUAUUGCACAAUGGGCGAAAGCCUGAUGCAGCGGCGCCGCGUGAGGGAUGACGGCCUUCGGGUUGUAAACCUCUUUCAGCAGGGAAGAAGCCACAAGUGACGGUACCUGCAGAAGAAGCGCCGGCUAACUACGUG